GACGAACGCUGGCGGCGUGCUUAACACAUGCAAGUCGAACGGAAUCCAUGGAGCUUGCUCCGGAAGAUUUAGUGGCGAACGGGUGAGGAACACGUGAGAAACCUGCCCCGAACUUUGGGAUAACAGUUGGAAACGACUGCUAAUACCAAAUACCUCCGCGAUGUGGCAUCACAUUGCGAAGAAAGAAUUUCGGUUCGGGAGGGUCUCGCGGCCUAUCAGCUAGUUGGUGGGGUAAUGGCCUACCAAGGCAUCGACGGGUAGCUGGUCUGAGAGGAUGAUCAGCCACACUGGGACUGAGACACGGCCCAGACUCCUACGGGAGGCAGCAGUGGGGAAUCUUGUGCAAUGGGGGCAACCCUGACACAGCCACGCCGCGUGCGGGAAGAAGGCCUUCGGGUCGUAAACCGCUUUCAGCAGGAACGAAAAUGACGGUACCUGCAGAAGAAGGUGCGGCCAACUACGUGCCAGCAGCCGCGGUAA
Molecule: ribosomal RNA, 480 nt
Filed under: uncultured bacterium
Lineage: Bacteria
Description: partial 16S ribosomal RNA
Rfam family: Bacterial small subunit ribosomal RNA
Source: RNAcentral